GUGAACGCUGGCGGUAGGCCUAACACCUGCAAGUCGCACGGCAGCACAGUAAGAGCUUGCUCUUACGGGUGGCGAGUGGCGGACGGGUGAGGAAUACAUCGGAAUCUACUUUUUCGUGGGGGAUAACGUAGGGAAACUUACGCUAAUACCGCAUACGACCUACGGGUGAAAGCAGGGGAUCUUCGGACCUUGCGCGAUUGAAUGAGCCGAUGUCGGAUUAGCUAGUUGGCGGGGUAAAGGCCCACCAAGGCGACGAUCCGUAGCUGGUCUGAGAGGAUGAUCAGCCACACUGGAACUGAGACACGGUCCAGACUCCUACGGGAGGCAGCAGUGGGGAAUAUUGGACAAUGGGCGCAAGCCUGAUCCAGCCAUACCGCGUGGGUGAAGAAGGCCUUCGGGUUGUAAAGCCCUUUUGUUGGGAAAGAAAAGCAGCAGGUUAAUACCCCGCUGUUCUGACGGUACCCAAAGAUUAAGCACCGGCUAACUUCGUG
RNAcentral lists this ribosomal RNA (491 nucleotides) under uncultured bacterium. RNAcentral describes it as "partial 16S ribosomal RNA". It matches the Rfam family "Bacterial small subunit ribosomal RNA", at positions 29 to 507 of the family's 1533-position model. The record is from RNAcentral.